AUUGAACGCUGGCGGCAUGCCUUACACAUGCAAGUCGAACGGCAGCACGGGAGCAAUCCUGGUGGCGAGUGGCGAACGGGCGAGUAAUAUAUCGGAACGUGCCCAGUCGUGGGGGAUAACGUAGCGAAAGCUACGCUAAUACCGCAUACGAUCUAUGGAUGAAAGCGGGGGAUCGCAAGACCUCGCGCGAUUGGAGCGGCCGAUAUCAGAUUAGGUAGUUGGUGAGGUAAAGGCUCACCAAGCCGACGAUCUGUAGCUGGUCUGAGAGGACGACCAGCCACACUGGGACUGAGACACGGCCCAGACUCCUACGGGAGGCAGCAGU
Molecule: ribosomal RNA, 325 nt
Filed under: uncultured bacterium
Lineage: Bacteria
Description: bacterial SSU rRNA
Rfam family: Bacterial small subunit ribosomal RNA
Source: RNAcentral